This 76-nucleotide transfer RNA is filed under the name Caulobacter sp. RNAcentral describes it as "tRNA-Ala". It matches the Rfam family "tRNA". From Rfam's summary of the family: Transfer RNA (tRNA) molecules are approximately 80 nucleotides in length. Their secondary structure includes four short double-helical elements and three loops (D, anti-codon, and T loops). RNAcentral also lists the same sequence under 11 other names. The record is from RNAcentral. Lineage: Bacteria; Pseudomonadati; Pseudomonadota; Alphaproteobacteria; Caulobacterales; Caulobacteraceae.
GGGGCCGUAGCUCAGUUGGUAGAGCGCCUCGUUCGCAAUGAGGAGGUCAGCGGUUCGAUUCCGCUCGGCUCCACCA